AUCCCGCCUUUCCUGGAACUUCUUCACUCGGAGUGGAAUCGAACCACGAAGGAUUUUCAGUCCUUUGCUCUAACCAGCUGAGCUCCAGCUCCCCGAAAACAAGGUUCAACUCUUUGUUGAGGCCACUUGUGUAGGAAAGCCCUUGAUCGAAUGGCGGGGUCUGCUGAAGAGCGACCCACGUCUUCCUCGUCAUACAGCACAGAAGUCUGACUUCCACCUCAAAUGCAGCUUCUUAUUGACAAAUUGCAACCGGAGUUUGCCAUGACUGAUCAUAGUUUUCGAAAGAAGAUCGAGAAAAGAAGCCAAGACCCUUCUACCGUACCGAAUUACGCUUUCACCAGGAGCGUAGCGAAAAACAAACAGUAAGAUUUUGGUCCGGCUUACUCUCUAUACUUAACAUAUCUUGCUUCCCUAUCACCAUCUCUUCGGAAUGGCACUGAAUUCGUACUCCCCAGGCUCCGCACUCACGAUACCCCCACAAUAUAGUAUAAAUAGUGGCCGUUCACGUCAGGAAGGAAAAGAAGAAAGAGGGAGGACUGAUCCCAAGGGUAACUUCAAAAGCAAACAUGCUUACCAUAUGGCUGCUCAUCAAGACUCUCAGCAAAGACUCCAAUCGAGUGACUGGAAGUGGAUUUGCCCAAACUACUCCUAGAGUGAACGACUUCCUCUGGCUUUGUGCCCAUGAUCGUCU
This 691-nucleotide long non-coding RNA is filed under the name Medicago truncatula (barrel medic). RNAcentral's name for it is "long non-coding RNA (MTRU_LNC004336)". The record is from RNAcentral. Lineage: Eukaryota; Viridiplantae; Streptophyta; Magnoliopsida; Fabales; Fabaceae.